AGAGUUUGAUCAUGGCUCAGGGUGAACGCUGGCGGCGUGCUUGACACAUGCAAGUCGAACGGUAUGUGGCAACACAUAGAGUGGCGAACGGGUGAGUAACACGUGGGAACGCACCCUACGCAGGGGGAUAACUGACCGAAAGGACAGCUAAUACCGCAUAAGACCGAAAGGUGAAAGGUGCAACUGCACCGGCGAAGGAGCGGCCCGCGGACCAUCAGCUAGUUGGUGGGGUAAGAGCCUACCAAGGCAACGACGGAUAGCCGGCGUGAGAGCGUGGCCGGCCACAAGGACACUGAGAUACGGGUCCUACUCCUACGGGAGGCAGCAGUGCGGAAUUUUAGAUAAUGGAGGCAACUCUGAUCUAGCGACGCCGCGUGCAGGAAGGAGGUCUUCGGAUUGUAAACUGCUGUGGUAAGGGAAAAAUGCCAUGUAGAGUGGAAAGCUACAUGGAGGGAUGGUACUUUACUAGAAAGCCCCGGCUAACUACGUGCCAGCAGCCGCGGUAAUACGUAGGGGGCGAGCGUUACCCGGAAUCACUGGGCGUAAAGGGAGCGUAGGUGGCCUGACAUGUCAACUGUGAAAACCCGGAGCUCAACUCCGGACUUGCAGUUGAAACUGCCAGGCUUGAGGACGGCAGAGGAAGACGGAACUGCCAGUGUAGGGGUAAAAUCCUUAGAUAUUGGCAGGAACGCCGGUGACGAAGGUGGUUUUCUGGGCCGGUUCUGACACUGAUGCUCGAAAGCCAGGGGAGCGAACGGGAUUAGAUACCCCGGUAGUCCUGGCCCUAAACGAUGUUCACUAGGUGUGGGGAGCGGAAAGCUUUCCGUGCUAAAGCUAACGCAAUAAGUGAACCGCCUGGGGAGUACGCCCGCAAGGGUGAAACUCAAAUGAAUUGACGG
This 899-nucleotide ribosomal RNA is filed under the name Thermotogaceae bacterium enrichment culture clone B312116. RNAcentral's name for it is "bacterial SSU rRNA". It matches the Rfam family "Bacterial small subunit ribosomal RNA", at positions 8 to 916 of the family's 1533-position model. The record is from RNAcentral. Lineage: Bacteria; Thermotogati; Thermotogota; Thermotogae; Thermotogales; Thermotogaceae.